RNAcentral lists this transfer RNA (88 nucleotides) under Blastomyces percursus. It matches the Rfam family "tRNA". Rfam says of the family: Transfer RNA (tRNA) molecules are approximately 80 nucleotides in length. Their secondary structure includes four short double-helical elements and three loops (D, anti-codon, and T loops). Lineage: Eukaryota; Fungi; Ascomycota; Eurotiomycetes; Onygenales; Ajellomycetaceae. The record is from Rfam by way of RNAcentral.
GGCGCGAUGGCGGAGUGGUUAACGCGAGAGACUAGAACUUGCUAAUCUCUUCCCUUCGGGGGCGUAGGUUCGAAUCCUGCUCGCGUCG